AGUCUGAUGAGCACAUUCCACCCUCACACUGAGGAGCGCUGGUAGGUUGCAUCGCGACAUGAUCAACUCCUCUCAUUGUCGUCUGGGAAGUAGGGGGCUGUGCACAUCUACGUGAGUCACACAUCGCUAUGGUACAGCACUAGGGAUAGCUUCGGUAGAAUAGAGAAUUGACCGUUUUCAACCGGCCUUUGGGCAGAUUCACUCUCAGUCUGUUACGAGUGUGUUUUCCUGGCUUCGCUAGGAAGGUCUACGCCCAGUCCAUGCCUUCCCGCUGACCAGAGCCUAUCGGUAACCCAGGCCACACAGGACAGACAGCAUUGCUCCAUUCUCACGACCUACUCUGUAGUCAGUCUGUGGCUGCCUUUCCAGAGCUUUCUUCCGCUGUUCUUCAGAGAAACAGAUGGAGAGUGGGCGAGAGCCAAACAGCGCAGGCGCAGCUCUGCCUGGAAUCUGGACAUCCGCGGGUUCUGUCUGGGCAGCUCAUCCGACACUUCCUCAGCACACCUUCCAGGGAUUGGAAUUAUCUUCCUGAUUCUUCCCGAAUCUUCGUAGUCUACAUGGGAAUGGCCAAUAAUGGUGACGUUGGAAACCAUGAAAUCUUUAGAAGAAAAGGUAUUGAAGCAAAUAGCGAAGGAUGGGUAACUCAGAAGAUAACGGAGACACCAGCCUGAGUCUACUGUGGCAUUCUGCCCCCUAAAUAGAGAUGCAAGGAUAAUGUGAAGAGGGUUCUGAGCACAGGAAGGGAAAUCAGAAUUUCCCUUUGCAACACCUUCCCUUCUUUCCCAUCACCCUUGGGUUUUGAGUGCUGAGCUGAAGUUUGUUUUGUCUUGCCUGUUGGCUCCAUUGGGGAAAGAGGAAGGGGAGGGUUAGAGCCAGAGUUAAAGAGGUCCCCUUCCUUUGUUUAAGAUACAGGCGGAAGGACGCUGUGAUGUGACAAGUUGUGUCUUUAACACGUAAACAGGUUCUAGAUUGUGCUUGCCCUUCCCCUCACCCCUGCACAUGCCAAACUCCAUUGGCUCUCCUCCGUGCCACAGUGUCCUGUCCUUGGCCCUGGCACUCUACAACUGCAUGGUGUCUGUCCUUAUGUCUCAGGCUGCUCCUUUCCGGUCCCCUUUCUGGUUCCUCCUACCCAUCCUUUAGAUGGUCUUUACCUUUGUAUUUUUUCCCCCAUGAAUCCUUUUUACUCAUUUCUUUAAUGAUGCUUUUCACAUCCAAGUUUCUAGACCAGAAAAUGUUGUCUGGACUUCAGAUUCAAAAAUUGCAGUUCCUCUCCAAAGUGCUGAGUGCAGUUCCGGGCUGCUUCCAUGUUCUGUUAAUUAAACAUUGAAAUUGGCUGAGAGA
Molecule: long non-coding RNA, 1341 nt
Filed under: Mus musculus (house mouse)
Lineage: Eukaryota; Metazoa; Chordata; Mammalia; Rodentia; Muridae
Description: predicted gene, 50630, transcript variant 2 (Gm50630)
Source: RNAcentral